Molecule: transfer RNA, 100 nt
Filed under: Penicillium subrubescens
Lineage: Eukaryota; Fungi; Ascomycota; Eurotiomycetes; Eurotiales; Aspergillaceae
Rfam family: tRNA
About the family: Transfer RNA (tRNA) molecules are approximately 80 nucleotides in length.
Source: Rfam by way of RNAcentral
GACAGUUUGGCCGAGUGGUCUAAGGCGCUUGACUAGAAUCGGAACACUUCCGGGUUAUCAAGUCUCUUCGGAGGCGGCGGUUCAAAUCCGCCAGCUGUCG